GGGGCUUUUGUAAUUGAAACAGAAAGAAGCUUUCUUGAGGGUUUUUAUUGCUUUUCCAAAAAUUAGGUUGAGAUUGCCUGCCUGCAAAAGUAGUUCAGCUCGGGUUUAAGAAGACUGGACCUCAAGGAAGCAUUUGAUAUGUAUCUUUUCAGAAAUUUGAUUCCACCCUCCUAAGGACCCCAGAAGAACAUGGGAUGCAGGGGAAUGGAUCAGGCUUUUAAGAAAUUACUUCUGUGAUGAAGAGAGGAAAAGAUCCCAGGUAGGUUUUUUAUUACUACAUGUCAUCAAGGAAACAACCAGCUUGGGAAUUGCCUCACCAGGUUGCCUGGACAUUC
RNAcentral lists this long non-coding RNA (335 nucleotides) under Felis catus (domestic cat). Its description in RNAcentral is "lncRNA (ENSFCAG00000043433.2)". Lineage: Eukaryota; Metazoa; Chordata; Mammalia; Carnivora; Felidae. The record is from RNAcentral.